Molecule: ribosomal RNA, 460 nt
Filed under: uncultured bacterium
Lineage: Bacteria
Description: partial 16S ribosomal RNA
Rfam family: Bacterial small subunit ribosomal RNA
Source: RNAcentral
CCUACGUGUGGCUGCAGUGAGGAAUAUUGGUCAAUGGGCGCGAGCCUGAACCAGCCAAGUCGCGUGAAGGAUGACUGCCCUAUGGAUUGUAAACUUCUUUUAUCAAGGAAUAAAGUGAGGCACGUGUGCCUGUUUGUGUGUACUUUAUGAAUAAGGAUCGGCUAACUCCGUGCCAGCAGCCGCGGUAAUACGGAGGGUCCGAGCGUUAUCCGGAUUUAUUGGGUUUAAAGGGUGCGUAGAUGGGUUGUUAAGUCAGUUGUGAAAGUUUGCGGCUCAACCGUAAAAUUGCAAUUGAUACUGGCAGCCUUGAGUACAGUUGAGGUAGGCGGAAUGCGUGGUGUAGCGGUGAAAUGCUUAGAUAUCACGAAGAACUCAGAUUGCGAAGGCAGCUUACUAAACUGCCACUGACAUUGAUGCUCGAAAGUGUGGGUAUCAAACAGGAUUAGAUACCCUUGUAGUC